GCUCCCGUGGGGUACGGGCGUGGCCGGUUCCGCCGCUCGCGGCCCGUCCCGUCUCCGGGGCUGACCGGUACUGUUCCGGGCGGGGGCCC
RNAcentral lists this transfer RNA (89 nucleotides) under Streptomyces sp. PTY087I2. Its description in RNAcentral is "tRNA-Gly". Lineage: Bacteria; Bacillati; Actinomycetota; Actinomycetes; Kitasatosporales; Streptomycetaceae. The record is from RNAcentral.